AUUUCGAAAAAUGAUAUGAUAGCUGUUUUCCUGUGAUUAAUUCUGCGCAACUUUUUCAAAGGCCAUUUUGUGUCGCCAUAUACUUCUCAGUUGUGAUUAUUAUAAAAUAAUAUCACCAGCUUCUGUCAUGCAACCUGCUUUAACUGUUGCGUCACAGUAUGCAUUGCUUGAAAUAUGAAAUAUAUUAUUUCUGAAAGAACGUAAUGCGCAUCAUAAGCCUCAUCAAUGUAAUAAGUUCUCCCUUCGUUUUAUCAGUGUUGCGCUUGCUAUCAACGGUGAGUGAAAAUAAGAACAAAUCCAUGUCUGCUAUGUUAGAUAUAUAGCCAAAGCCAAUUUGGAGAUGAUCGUACUAUUAUACAAUUAAUAAUUGUGUAAUUGCAUAUUAUCAAAAAAAUCACUAAUCAUCCACCUCUAGUAAGUGUAUUUGUUAUUAGUUGGCUUUAGAAGUUGAGAUAAUAAGAUUAAUCAACCUGUCGAGUGACUUUCACUUUAUUCAUAAGCCUAUAGAUUCGAAGCUAAAGUUUACAAUCUUGUGUUUCAGGUAACACGGUAGCGACUGCUGAGACUUUUUACGUCAUCGCUGAACGAGAAGUGGUGUGUUCCUGUAGAUCGUUUUUUGAAGCGGUAGCUUUUCAGUUUGCUUCGUUCUAUGUUUUCAACAUAGAAUAUCCAAAGAAGGCCUUGCUGACGUUUGAUUUUAUUCAGAGGUUCUUCGGUGACAUAAACCCCAGAGGCACUAAGUCG
Non-coding RNA from Styela clava, 744 nucleotides. The record is from RefSeq and is a predicted model, not a curated record. NCBI's taxonomy places the organism in Eukaryota, Metazoa, Chordata, Ascidiacea, Stolidobranchia, Styelidae.